Molecule: ribosomal RNA, 499 nt
Filed under: uncultured bacterium
Lineage: Bacteria
Description: bacterial SSU rRNA
Rfam family: Bacterial small subunit ribosomal RNA
Source: RNAcentral
CUGGCUCAGGAUGAACGCUGGCGGCGUGCCUAACACAUGCAAGUCGAACGGAGUAAUUAAGCGGAAGUCUUCGGAUGGAAGCUCAGCUACUUAGUGGCGGACGGGUGAGUAACGCGUGGGCAACCUGCCCUGUACCGGGGGAUAACACUUAGAAAUAGGUGCUAAUACCGCAUAAGCGCACGGUCUCGCAUGAGACAGUGUGAAAAACUCCGGUGGUACAGGAUGGACCCGCGUCUGAUUAGCUAGUUGGUGGGGUAGAGGCCUACCAAGGCGACGAUCAGUAGCCGGCCUGAGAGGGUGACCGGCCACAUUGGGACUGAGACACGGCCCAAACUCCUACGGGAGGCAGCAGUGGGGAAUACUGCACAAUGGGGGAAACCCUGAUGCCAGCGACGCCGCGUGAGUGAAGAAGUAUUUCGGUAUGUAAAGCUCUAUCAGCAGGGAAGAAAAUGACGGUACCUGACUAAGAAGCCCCGGCUAACUACGUGCCAGCCGCAGC